Cebus imitator (Panamanian white-faced capuchin) is the source of this 2164-nucleotide long non-coding RNA. RefSeq lists it as uncharacterized. The transcript is spliced from 2 exons. The record is from RefSeq and is a predicted model, not a curated record. Lineage: Eukaryota; Metazoa; Chordata; Mammalia; Primates; Cebidae.
GCAACAUUCUAUCUAUGCAGGCUUUAACACGAUUUAUGCAAGCUUUGAGACAGUCUAUACAAGCUUCUAGACAAUCUAUCUAUGCAGGCUUCAAGACAAUCAACACUGGCUUUGAGACAAUCUAUGCCGGCUUCGAGAAUAUACACGGGCUUCAAGACAAUCUAUGCUGGCUUUGAGAAAAUCUAUGCGAGCUUCAAGCAAAUCUACUUGGGCUUUGUGACAAUAUAUCUCUGCAGGCUUUGACACAAUCUAUGCAGGCUUUGAGACAAUGUAUAUAUACAAGCUUUGAGACAAUCUACCUACAUGCACUUUGAGACAAUCUACACAAGUGUCAAGACAAUCUGCAUUGGCUUUGAGACAAUUUACCCUGGCUUUGAUACAAUCUACACUGGCUUUGAGACAAUGUAUAUGCACAAGCUUCAAAACAAUCUAUCUAGGCAUGCUUCGAGACAAUCUAUACAGGCUUUAAGACAAUAUCUAUGCAGGCUUCACAACAAUCCAUGUAAGCUUUGGUACAAUUUAUGCAGACUUCAAGACAAACUAUGUAGGCUUUGAGACAAUAUAUGCUUGCUUCGAGACAAUCUACACUUGUUUAGAGACAAUGUAUGUAUACCGGCUUCAAGACAAUCUAUCUAUGUUGCUUUGAGACAAUCUACACAGCUUUGAGAUGAUCUAUGUGGGCUUCAAAACAAUCUAUACAACCUUCAAGACAAUCUAUGUGGGCUAUGAGAAAAUCUAUGUGGCCAGUGAGCCAAUCUAUGCCAGCUUUGAGAACAUAUAUCUAUGCGUGCUUUGAGACAAUCAACACAAACUUUGAGACAAUCUAUGUGGGCUUUGAGACAAUCUAUCUCCAUGGGCUUCAAGAUUAUCUAUCUAUGUGAGCUUGUAGACAUAUCUAUGCAAGCUUGAGACAAUCUAUGCAGGUUUUGAGACAAUCUACACUGGCUUCAAGACAAUCUAUCUAUACAGGCUUGAAGCCAAUCUACACAAGCUUUUAGACAAUCUACACAGACUUUGAAACUAUCUACAAGAGCUUUGAGACAAUCUAUAUCAGCUGUGAGACAAUCUAUCUAGGCAGGCUUCGAGACAGUUUACUUGAGCUUUGAGAAAAUCAUCCUAUAUGUGCUUCCAAACAAUAUACUCUGGCUUUGAGACAAUCUACACUGGCUUCGAGAAUAUCUACACAUGCUUCAAGACAACCUACACCCUCUUUGAGAAAAUCUACCCCAAGUUCAAGACCAUAUAUCUACACAGGCUUUGAGACAAUAUAUCUACACAAGCUUUGAGACAAUCUGUGCAAGCUACCAGACAAUUUAUGUGGGCAAUGAGCCAAUCUAUGUAGGCUUCAGGAAUAUGUAUCUACUCAGGCUUCAAAACAAUCAACACAGACUUCGAGACAACCUACACAAGCUUUGAGACAAUCUAUUUACACAGGCAUUGCGACAAUUUACGUGGGCUACGAGACAAUCUACGCUGGCUUCAAGAUGAUCUACACUAGCUUAGACACAAUCUAUAUAUGCAGGGUUUGAGACAAUCUAUCCACGCCUACAGAGAACCAGCUUGGUCAUGAGACCCCCACCCAGGCAGUGCUGAAGGUAUUUGAGACAAUCUGCACCAUCUUUGAGACAAUCUACAUGAGCUUUGAGACAACCUACUACAAACUUCAAGACAAUCUACAUGAACUUUGAGACAAUCUACAUGAACUUCAAGACAAUCUACACGAACUUCUAGACAAUCUACACGAACUUCCAGACAAUCUACCACAAACUUUGAGACAAUCUACAUGAACUUUGAGAUAAUCAACCAUGAACUUCAAGAUAAUCUACACAAACUUUGAGACAAUCUACACAAACUUCAAGACAAUCUACCACAAACUUUGAGACAAGCUACAUGAACUUCAAGAUAAUCUACCAUGAACUUCGAGACAAUCAACCAUGAUCUUCAAGACAAUCUACCACAAACUUCAUGACAAUCUAUGCAAACAUUGAGAAAAUCUAUGUGAACUUCAAGACAAUCUACAUGAACUCGGAGACAAUCUAUGUGAACUUCACAACAAUCUACACGAACUCUGUGACAAUCAACCAUGAACUUCAAGACAAUCUACACGAACUUCCAGACAAUCUACACAAACUCCAAGACAAUCUACACAAACUUUGAGACAAUC